GUGGGGAAUCUUAGACAAUGGGGGAAACCCUGAUCUAGCCAUGCCGCGUGAGCGAUGAAGGCCUUAGGGUUGUAAAGCUCUUUCAGCUGGGAAGAUAAUGACGGUACCAGCAGAAGAAGCCCCGGCUAACUCCGUGCCAGCAGCCGCGGUAAUACGGAGGGGGCUAGCGUUGUUCGGAAUUACUGGGCGUAAAGCGCGCGUAGGCGGACCAGAAAGUUGGAGGUGAAAUCCCAGGGCUCAACCUUGGAACUGCCUUCAAAACUCCUGGUCUGGAGUUCGAGAGAGGUGAGUGGUAUUCCGAGUGUAGAGGUGAAAUUCGUAGAUAUUCGGAGGAACACCAAUGGCGUAGGCAGGUUACUGGGCCAUUUCUGACGCUAAGGCACGAAAGCGUGGGGAGCGAACCGGAUUAGAAACCCCUGUAGUCC
Molecule: ribosomal RNA, 425 nt
Filed under: uncultured bacterium
Lineage: Bacteria
Description: partial 16S ribosomal RNA
Rfam family: Bacterial small subunit ribosomal RNA
Source: RNAcentral